This 138-nucleotide ribosomal RNA is filed under the name uncultured bacterium. RNAcentral describes it as "partial 16S rRNA". It matches the Rfam family "Bacterial small subunit ribosomal RNA", at positions 355 to 510 of the family's 1533-position model. The record is from RNAcentral.
UGGGGAAUAUUGGACAAUGGGGGCAACCCUGAUCCAGCAAUGCCGCGUGUGUGAAGAAGGUCUUCGGAUUGUAAAGCACUUUCGACGGGGACGAUGAUGACGGUACCCGUAGAAGAAGCCCCGGCUAACUUCGUGUCA